AGUUUGAUCCUGGCUCAGGAUGAACGCUAGCUACAGGCUUAACACAUGCAAGUCGAGGGGCAGCAUUGGAGUAGCAAUACUUCAGAUGGCAACCGGCGCACGGGUGAGUAACACGUAUCCAACCUGCCGCUUACUCGGGGAUAGCCUUUCGAAAGAAAGAUUAAUACCCGAUGGUAUAAAGAGUUCGCAUGUUCUCUUUAUUAAAGAAUUUCGGUAAGCGAUGGGGAUGCGUUCCAUUAGAUAGUUGGCGGGGUAACGGCCCACCAAGUCUACGAUGGAUAGGGGUUCUGAGAGGAAGGUCCCCCACAUUGGAACUGAGACACGGUCCAAAUCCUACGGGAGGCAGCAGUGAGGAAUAUUGGUCAAUGGACGAGAGUCUGAACCAGCCAAGUAGCGUGAAGGAUGACUGCCCUAUGGGUUGUAAACUUCUUUUAUAAGGGAAUAAAGUGAGGGACGUGUCCCUUUUUGUAUGUACCUUAUGAAUAAGGAUCGGCUAACCCCGUGCCAGCAGCCGCGGUAAUACGGAGGAUCCAAGCGUUAUCCGGAUUUAUUGGGUUUAAAGGGAGCGUAGGUUGACAUAUAAGUCAGCUGUGAAAGUUUACGGCUCAACCGUGAAAUUGCAGUUGAUACUGUAUGUCUUGAGUGUACAAGAGGUGGGCGGAAUUCGUGGUGUAGCGGUGAAAUGCUUAGAUAUCACGAAGAACUCCAAUUGCGAAGGCAGCUCACUGGGGUACAACUGACACUGAGGCUCGAAAGUGUGGGUAUCAAACAGGAUUAGAUACCCUGGUAGUCCACACAGUAAACGAUGAAUACUCGCUGUUUGCGAUAUACAGUAAGCGGCCAAGCGAAAGCAUUAAGUAUUCCACCUGGGGAGUACGCCGGCAACGGUGAAACUCAAAGGAAUUGACGGGGGCCCGCACAAGCGGAGGAACAUGUGGUUUAAUUCGAUGAUACGCGAGGAACCUUACCCGGGCUUGAAUUGCAGAGGAAUAUAGUUGAAAGAUUAUAGCCGCAAGGUCUCUGUGAAGGUGCUGCAUGGUUGUCGUCAGCUCGUGCCGUGAGGUGUCGGCUUAAGUGCCAUAACGAGCGCAACCCUUAUCAUUAGUUACUAACAGGUCAUGCUGAGGACUCUAGUGAGACUGCCGUCGUAAGAUGUGAGGAAGGUGGA
RNAcentral lists this ribosomal RNA (1168 nucleotides) under uncultured Bacteroides sp. Its description in RNAcentral is "bacterial SSU rRNA". It matches the Rfam family "Bacterial small subunit ribosomal RNA", at positions 10 to 1177 of the family's 1533-position model. Lineage: Bacteria; Pseudomonadati; Bacteroidota; Bacteroidia; Bacteroidales; Bacteroidaceae. The record is from RNAcentral.